AUUGAACGCUGGCGGCAGGCCUAACACAUGCAAGUCGAGCGGAUGAAGGGAGCUUGCUCCUGGAUUCAGCGGCGGACGGGUGAGUAAUGCCUAGGAAUCUGCCUGGUAGUGGGGGAUAACGUCCGGAAACGGGCGCUAAUACCGCAUACGUCCUGAGGGAGAAAGUGGGGGAUCUUCGGACCUCACGCUAUCAGAUGAGCCUAGGUCGGAUUAGCUAGUUGGUGGGGUAAAGGCCUACCAAGGCGACGAUCCGUAACUGGUCUGAGAGGAUGAUCAGUCACACGGAACUGGGAAAACGGCCAGGACCCUUAGGGAGGGAAGAGGGGGGAAAAAUGGAAAAUUGGCGGAAACCCGGAUCCAGCCAGGCCGGUGGUUGGAAGAAGGUCUCCGAAUUGAAAACAACUUUAAGUGGGGAGAAAGGGAGUAAAGUUAAUACUUGGCGGUUUUGACGUUACAACAGAAUAAGCACCGGCUAACUUCGUG
This 483-nucleotide ribosomal RNA is filed under the name uncultured bacterium. RNAcentral describes it as "partial 16S ribosomal RNA". It matches the Rfam family "Bacterial small subunit ribosomal RNA", at positions 29 to 507 of the family's 1533-position model. The record is from RNAcentral.